GAUCCAGCAAUACCGAGUGAGUGAUGAAGGCCCUAGGGUUGUAAAGCUCUUUUAGCAAGGAAGAUAAUGACGUUCUUGCAGAAAAAGCCCCGGCUAACUCCGUGCCAGCAGCCGCGGUAAGACGGAGGGGGCUAGCGUUGUUCGGAAUUACUG
Molecule: ribosomal RNA, 153 nt
Filed under: Rickettsia endosymbiont of Pnigalio sp.
Lineage: Bacteria; Pseudomonadati; Pseudomonadota; Alphaproteobacteria; Rickettsiales; Rickettsiaceae
Description: partial 16S ribosomal RNA
Rfam family: Bacterial small subunit ribosomal RNA
Source: RNAcentral